Molecule: transfer RNA, 73 nt
Filed under: Ruminococcus sp.
Lineage: Bacteria; Bacillati; Bacillota; Clostridia; Eubacteriales; Oscillospiraceae
Description: tRNA-Phe
Rfam family: tRNA
About the family: Transfer RNA (tRNA) molecules are approximately 80 nucleotides in length. Their secondary structure includes four short double-helical elements and three loops (D, anti-codon, and T loops).
Source: RNAcentral
GCCUCUGUAGCUCAGUCGGUAGAGCAAGGGACUGAAAAUCCCUGUGUCGGCGGUUCAAUUCCACCCGGAGGCA